RNAcentral lists this ribosomal RNA (510 nucleotides) under uncultured bacterium. RNAcentral's name for it is "bacterial SSU rRNA". It matches the Rfam family "Bacterial small subunit ribosomal RNA", at positions 15 to 518 of the family's 1533-position model. The record is from RNAcentral.
GAUCAUGGCUCAGGAUGAACGCUAGCGGCAGGCUUAACACAUGCAAGUCGAGGGGCAGCGCGGGGUAGCAAUACUCUGGCGGCGACCGGCGAAAGGGUGAGUAACGCGUGAGCAACAUGCCCGGUACUGGAGGAUAGUCGAUGGAAACGUCGCGUAAUACUCCGUAACAACAGGGACCGCAUGAUCCUUGUUUAAGAGAUUUAUCGAUAUCGGAUUGGCUCGCGUUCCAUUAGCUAGUUGGCGGGGUAACGGCCCACCAAGGCGACGAUGGAUAGGGGUUCUGAGAGGAAGGUCCCCCACAUUGGAACUGAGACACGGUCCAGACUCCUACGGGAGGCAGCAGUGAGGAAUAUUGGUCAAUGGCCGAGAGGCUGAACCAGCCAUGCCGCGUGCCGGGAGGACGGCCCUAUGGGUUGUAAACCGCUUUUUUGUGGGAGCAAUAAGUCUUACGUGUAGGACGAUGAGAGUACCAUGAGAAUAAGCAUCGGCUAACUCCGUGCCAGCCGCUGC